AUAUUAGCUAGAAUGCAAAUGAUUGAAACAUUAAGAAUAAGCUCAACUAGCAUUCUUUUUGUUCAUAUUAUUUGUUUGUCUUACAACCUAUUAAGUUUUAUUUGUGCUGUUUUUUGCAUAUUCCAAGGUGUAUUGCCACUUUCAAGCUAUUUAGACGGGAUAAACUAUCCCGUC
This 174-nucleotide non-coding RNA is filed under the name Nostoc punctiforme PCC 73102. RNAcentral's name for it is "Nitrogen stress-induced RNA 8". It matches the Rfam family "Nitrogen stress-induced RNA 8". Rfam says of the family: Transcribed in developing heterocysts. Transcription requires HetR suggestingthat it could be related to the differentiation of heterocysts. Lineage: Bacteria; Bacillati; Cyanobacteriota; Cyanophyceae; Nostocales; Nostocaceae. The record is from Rfam by way of RNAcentral.